AUAUAGCAAUAGCUUCUACCGUGUUUUUGACAUAUCCCUACUCAGUCUGGAGCUCAUCACCCUGCAAUCGGGAUAAUAAAGCUCAUUGUUAUUGUUAGAAAAGUCUGCUUUAUUCAAAUAGGAAUCUUCUGUAACUUUUUCUCCAGAGCUGUGAGAAAAACUUUUAUUACUUAAAGUCCCUAAGACUGCGGAACUUUAUUAUGGCAGCCCUGGGAAACUAGUAGAUGUCCCAGGCUAAGAGAUGAACUUUCCUCCAAGUAUUUCCUACAGUGCAGUUUCCAGGGAAUGUGCUCCACGGAGUCAUCUCUACUUUGCCAUUGGUCCUCUUAAAUGAACGCCCAAGAUUUGAACGGUGAACUCCAGGGACGGUUGACUUCUUCUAUCCCAUCCAUGGUAGAGAGUCAAAUACAAAAUAAAAUUAGGCUUAAUGGUGCUUGAGAACAUGCUGCAUACUGUCAGGCCUCUGAG
This 468-nucleotide long non-coding RNA is filed under the name Homo sapiens (human). Its description in RNAcentral is "HSALNT0034699". Lineage: Eukaryota; Metazoa; Chordata; Mammalia; Primates; Hominidae. The record is from RNAcentral.